CAAUUUUACAGCACAAAUGCAAUACAGUUGAUAUAAUAUAACCCAUUAGCCCAUCCUCCCUACCUGUUCCCCACGCAUGCACCCACCCAAACCAACACAUGGUACGCUCACACAUGUACCCACAAAAUAACAUUAAAAAAUAUAAAAUAAAAUAAUAUAAAAUGAAAAAUAAAAUAUACACACAAACAAAUAAAUAAAGUCAAUGGAAAAACACUAAAGAACAUGCACUAUUAUUUGAAUAAAAUUAUAAAAGUCGGAAAAUGAUGCUGUAUAUCUGAAUGUGAUCUGCAAUUCUAACCUAUUAUACUGUUACUAUUUACAUACUGCUUCUACUGAAGAGCCACAGAGAUAAAUAAAAGAGAUGACAAGAGGAAAUAAUUAUUAUGCUACUUAUGUAUAUGCUCCAUGAAUCUUUUUUUAAUUCAAUCAUAAAAUAUAUUUGUUCACCGGAAUACAAAACACA
Molecule: long non-coding RNA, 463 nt
Organism: Sebastes umbrosus (honeycomb rockfish)
Lineage: Eukaryota; Metazoa; Chordata; Actinopteri; Perciformes; Sebastidae
Exons: 2
Source: RefSeq, a predicted model, not a curated record